Molecule: ribosomal RNA, 444 nt
Filed under: uncultured bacterium
Lineage: Bacteria
Description: bacterial SSU rRNA
Rfam family: Bacterial small subunit ribosomal RNA
Source: RNAcentral
AUUGAACGCUGGCGGCAUGCUUUACACAUGCAAGUCGAACGGUAACAGGCCUUCGGGUGCUGACGAGUGGCGAACGGGUGAGUAAUGCAUCGGAACGUGCCCAAUCGUGGGGGAUAACGUAGCGAAAGUUACGCUAAUACCGCAUAAGCCCUGAGGGGGAAAGCAGGGGAUCGCAAGACCUUGCGCGAAUGGAGCGGCCGAUGUCAGAUUAGCUAGUUGGUGGGGUAAAGGCCUACCAAGGCGACGAUCUGUAGCGGGUCUGAGAGGAUGAUCCGCCACACUGGGACUGAGACACGGCCCAGACUCCUACGGGAGGCAGCAGUGGGGAAUUUUGGACAAUGGGCGCAAGCCUGAUCCAGCCAUGCCGCGUGCGGGACGAAGGCCUUCGGGUUGUAACCGACGUUCUAGCCGGAAGAAUACGCCAAGGCUAAUAUCCUUGGUGGA